GGGCCCGCACAAGCGGUGGAGCAUGUGGUUUAAUUCGAUGAUACGCGAGGAACCUUACCAGGACUUAAAUGUAAGUUGCAUGAUUCAGAAAUGAAUCUUUCUUCGGACUACUUACAAGGUGCUGCAUGGUUGUCGUCAGCUCGUGUCGUGAGAUGUUGGGUUAAGUCCCGCAACGAGCGCAACCCACGUCUUUAGUUGCCAGCAUUUAGUUGGGCACUCUAGAGAGACCGCCGGUGACAAACCGGAGGAAGGUGUGGAUGACGUCAAAUCAUCACGGCCCUUACGUCCUGGGCUACACACGUGCUACAAUGGCCGGUACAGAGAGCAGCCACUACGCGAGUAGGAGCGAAUCUUCAAAGCCGGUCUCAGUUCGGAUCGCAGUCUGCAACUCGACUGCGUGAAGCUGGAAUCGCUAGUAAUCG
RNAcentral lists this ribosomal RNA (422 nucleotides) under uncultured bacterium. RNAcentral describes it as "bacterial SSU rRNA". It matches the Rfam family "Bacterial small subunit ribosomal RNA", at positions 917 to 1344 of the family's 1533-position model. The record is from RNAcentral.